CUGUCACGUCUUUCGGGUUCUGGGUGACGCAGCUGAGUAGCGUUACGGCUCGUUAGCCACGGGAUCAAAACGGCCGUGUCUCACACGCUAGCCCCCCUUCCCUGCGACACGCUACGGCAGCUCGGAAAGGUUGAGCGGACUUCUGGAGGCUCUGAGCGGCGUGUGUGAUAGUGUUUCUGUGCCCCUCUGCUGUUUGGGAUAUUGAGAUCGCGGGGGACUGCCGUGGAAGCAGACUUCUGGCACUGCUCAUGCAAGACUGCUGCUCAAAUUACACAAGACUGUGACAAUGGCAUCGUGGUAAGUUAAACAUUUAACCAUAAAACAAUGUCAAAAUGCCUAAUCAGCAAAUCAAGUUGCCAACACUCAACCACAAACCAUCAAAGAAUAUAACUAUUAUAUGAUGAAAGUAGAACAUCGUUUGUUAUGCUGCACGUUCCAGGCAGAUAUAUUGUCAUUCCUGUAUAACACAUUACCAUGCAACACUGCCUCUAAAUGAAAAAAUAAAUGAGCAGUCUUCAUAAUGACUCCAUCAUGUUUCAGUUCAAACACAAAUAUUCCACCUCAUUUACUUCUCCUUGCAUCUUCAACUCCAUAUACCUUUUCUUUCUUUCUUCUUUAUUCCAGUCCUCCAUUAAAGCCCUGCGCUGCAGCCUGUUUUUGGCUGACAGUUCAUCUGAGGCAGCAGUAUGGAGCUUGGGAGGAGUUGGAACUGAAAAAAUGUCUAAACUUUAGCUUCAGAUGCCUUUUUAACAUUCAGAGAUAGUCCUCCACCUACCAGAGGGACUAAAAAAAACAACACAAAAAGAAGAAAAAAAACAA
This is a long non-coding RNA of Haplochromis burtoni (Burton's mouthbrooder), 819 nucleotides long. RefSeq lists it as uncharacterized. The transcript is spliced from 2 exons. NCBI's taxonomy places the organism in Eukaryota, Metazoa, Chordata, Actinopteri, Cichliformes, Cichlidae. The record is from RefSeq and is a predicted model, not a curated record.